GGGAUUCUUCGGCAAGCGGAGAUCGGGUGGUGAACCAUCGGCUGGCCGGCGAGGGGGAAGAGCGGCUUCGGGACAUUGAGCGACAGCGGACGGAAUCGCGUGCCUUUGGUCGGUCCGCCGACCAUGAUGACGGCGACGAUCCGCUCCUCCGAGGUGCCCAUGGAUCGCCGGAGCGAGACUGGGGGAGAGGAGUCCUAGAUUUGGGGGGCGGAGAG
This 215-nucleotide unclassified non-coding RNA is filed under the name Hevea brasiliensis (rubber tree). The record is from RNAcentral. Lineage: Eukaryota; Viridiplantae; Streptophyta; Magnoliopsida; Malpighiales; Euphorbiaceae.